Molecule: ribosomal RNA, 253 nt
Filed under: uncultured bacterium
Lineage: Bacteria
Description: partial 16S ribosomal RNA
Rfam family: Bacterial small subunit ribosomal RNA
Source: RNAcentral
UACGUAGGGGGCGAGCGUUGUCCGGAGUUACUGGGCGUAAAGAGCGCGCAGGCGGUCAGAUAAGUCGAAUGUGAAAGCCCCCGGCUCAACUGGGGAGGGUCAUUCGAUACUGUUCGACUCGAAGGCAGGAGAGGGAAGUGGAAUUCCCGGUGUAGUGGUGAAAUGCGUAGAUAUCGGGAGGAACACCAGUGGCGAAGGCGACUUCCUGGCCUGUUCUUGACGCUGAGGCGCGAAAGCUAGGGGAGCAAACGGG